GGCUAUUCCAGGUAUCUACUACCCUUUCUAUAUCACUGUUACUGCUCCCACUGGAAGGCUAUUCCAGGUAUCUACUACCCUUUCUAUAUCACUGUUACUGCUCCCACUGGAAGGCUAUCCCUGGUAUCUACUACCCUUUCUACAUCACUGUUACUGCUCCCACUGGAAGGCUAUUCCAGGUAUCUACUACCCUUUCUACAUCACUGUUACUGCUCCCGCUGGAAGGCUAUUCCAGGUAUCUAC
Non-coding RNA from Pelobates cultripes (western spadefoot toad), 243 nucleotides. The record is from the annotation of a GenBank genome assembly. NCBI's taxonomy places the organism in Eukaryota, Metazoa, Chordata, Amphibia, Anura, Pelobatidae.